This 442-nucleotide ribosomal RNA is filed under the name uncultured bacterium. Its description in RNAcentral is "partial 16S ribosomal RNA". It matches the Rfam family "Bacterial small subunit ribosomal RNA", at positions 338 to 795 of the family's 1533-position model. The record is from RNAcentral.
CCUACGGGCGGCUGCAGUAGGGAAUCUUUCACAAUGGGCGAAAGCCUGAUGGAGCAACGCCGCGUGCAGGAUGAAGGCCUUCGGGUUGUAAACUGCUUUUAUAAGCGAGAAAUAUGAUGGUAACUUUUGAAUAAGGAUCGGCUCACUACGUGCCAGCAGCCCCGGUCCUACGUAGGAUCCGAGCAUUAUCCGGAGUGACUGGGUGUAAAGAGUUGCGUAGGUGGCAUAAUAAGUAGCUAGUGGAAUCUGGUGGCUCAACCAUUCAGACUAUUAGCUACACUGGUAAGCUCGAGACCGUUAGGGGUAACUGGAAUUUCUAGUGUAGGAGUGAAAUCCGUAGAUAUUAGAAGGAACACCAAUAGCGUAGGCAGGUUGCUGGGACGGUUCUGACACUAAGGCACGAAAGCGUAGGGAGCAAACGGGAUUAGAUACCCUGGUAGUC